Molecule: ribosomal RNA, 445 nt
Filed under: uncultured bacterium
Lineage: Bacteria
Description: SSU rRNA
Rfam family: Bacterial small subunit ribosomal RNA
Source: RNAcentral
AGAACGAACGCUGGCGGCAGGCUUAACACAUGCAAGUCGAGCGCCGUAGCAAUACGGAGCGGCAGACGGGUGAGUAACGCGUGGGAACAUACCCUUCGGUUCGGAAUAAUUCAGGGAAACUUGGACUAAUACCGGAUACGGACGAGAGUCGAAAGAUUUAUCGCCGAAGGAUUGGCCCGCGUUCGAUUAGCUAGUUGGUGUGGUAACGGCGCACCAAGGCGACGAUCGAUAGCUGGUCUGAGAGGAUGAUCAGCCACAUUGGGACUGAGACACGGCCCAAACUCCUACGGGAGGCAGCAGUGGGGAAUAUUGGACAAUGGGCGCAAGCCUGAUCCAGCCAUGCCGCGUGAGUGAUGACGGCCUUAGGGUUGUAAAGCUCUUUCGCUAGGGACGAUAAUGACGGUACCUAGACAAGAAGCCCGGCUAACUUCGUGCCAGCAGCCGC